UACGUAGGGUGCAAGCGUUAAUCGGAAUUAUUGGGCGUAAAGAGCUUGUAGGCGGUUUGUCGCGUCUGCUGUGAAAUUUCGGGGCUCAACCCCGAACUUGCAGUGGGUACGGGCAGACUAGAGUGUGGUAGGGGAGACUGGAAUUCCUGGUGUAGCGGUGAAAUGCGCAGAUAUCAGGAGGAACACCGAUGGCGAAGGCGGCCAUCUGGACCGCAACUGACGCUGAGGCGCGAAAGCGUGGGGAGCAAACAGG
RNAcentral lists this ribosomal RNA (253 nucleotides) under uncultured bacterium. RNAcentral describes it as "partial 16S ribosomal RNA". It matches the Rfam family "Bacterial small subunit ribosomal RNA", at positions 524 to 776 of the family's 1533-position model. The record is from RNAcentral.